AUGAGCAAAGCAAAGCUGGCCCCCUGCGCUGAACACACAGUGCCGAGACUUGAACUCUGUGCAGCAGUGCUUGCUGUCAAGUUAGCACACCUGGUCUUGGCAGAAUUAGACCUACAGAUUGAUGACGUAACCUACUACUCAGACAGUAAAGUAGUCCUGGGCUAUAUUUGCAAUGAGACCAGGUGCUUUUAUGUCUAUUUCAGCAACCGAGUGCUACGCAUCCGAAGAUCCUGCCGACCAGACCAGUGGCGUUACGUGCCAACAGACCUGAAACCUGCAGAUCACGCAACGCGUUCUGUCCCUGCUGGCCAACUGAAGCACACCAACUGGUUGAGUGGCCCCAGAUGUCUCUCCAAGCCAGAGCCUAGCAUUUCUGAGAACACUUAUGACCUUGUUGACCCGAGCUCAGAUCCAGACAUUCGCCCUCUGGUGUCUGCCUUAAGCACUACAGCCUCAAACCAGCAACUGGAUUCACAACGCUUUGCAAAGCUCUCUACUUGGAGGUCAUUAACUCGUGCAGUCACACACCUCGUUCACAUAGCCUGUCGUUUCAAGACAGUUCACAGAGAGAACCAAGCAUGCAAGGGCUGGCAUUACUGCAAAGCUGAAUUCACAGUUGAGAAAGAGGCAGCUGUGAUCAUCCAAGCAGUUCAACAGAAAGUCUACAGCCAACAAAUAAAGUGCAUUCAAAAACAUGAAAGGAUGCCAAAAACAAGCCCUCUGAGAAAUCUGGACCCAUUCAUCGACACACACGGCUGUCUCAGAGUUGGAGGCGGUCUUCAUCAUUCAAGUGUCGAUCAGAGUGAAAAGACUCCCCUGAUUAUUCCUGGCCAGCAUCACAUCGCCACUUUGCUUAUCAGACACCACCACGAGCAAAUUCAUCAUCAAGGCCGUCACGUUACAGAGUGGGCGUUCAGCCGGCCUUUGGAAAGUAGGAGAGAAGAAAAGAGUAAGCAGCAUCAUUUACCAAUGCAUAACAUGCAGAAGGCUCAGAGCUCCACUCAGUCUCCGGAAAAUGGCUGA
Molecule: long non-coding RNA, 1023 nt
Filed under: Carassius auratus (goldfish)
Lineage: Eukaryota; Metazoa; Chordata; Actinopteri; Cypriniformes; Cyprinidae
Description: lncRNA (ENSCARG00000003451.1)
Source: RNAcentral